Molecule: long non-coding RNA, 533 nt
Organism: Ailuropoda melanoleuca (giant panda)
Lineage: Eukaryota; Metazoa; Chordata; Mammalia; Carnivora; Ursidae
Exons: 3
Source: RefSeq, a predicted model, not a curated record
CGGCCAGCAGGCCUCAGCGCUGUGGGAGACCGGUACAUGUGCACUGCAGAAGGCUUCCUGUGUGUGUUUGCCGGCAACAGCACCACGUCCUUCGAGGACAUCCGCUAGUACAGGGAGCAGAUCGAGGGAGUGAAGGACUCCAGUAAGGCUCUGGUCCCAGCUCCGGGACUGGCUGGGACACUCUGGGACCCCAGUGACUCAGUGGCCUCUAGUGCUGGCGUGAGGACGCCUUCCAGACCCUGGUGCGAGAGAUCCCGUAGCACGAGGUGGGAAAACCGAGCUCACCCGGGCAGGGUGGCCCUGGCCGCAUGGGCCACAAGUGCCCCCUCUGACAUCCCCGCAGGCCUUCUGUGCCCCAGAGCACAGGUAGGGGGCCUGGAGGUACAAGAUGCCAGGAGGAGGUGAGGAAAGAGGAAGGAGAAGGCGAAGGAAGGAAGGAAGCUCCGCCUGAGCCCCGCCAGCCCACCCUCCCUGGAGAGUGACCACAGGCCUCCCUGGACUCUUUGCACAGAUGCAGUGAACGGAGGUCACUA